Molecule: long non-coding RNA, 2957 nt
Organism: Mustela lutreola (European mink)
Lineage: Eukaryota; Metazoa; Chordata; Mammalia; Carnivora; Mustelidae
Exons: 5
Source: RefSeq, a predicted model, not a curated record
GCGGCGUUCUGGGGUGUUGGCGCGCAGGUGCCCCGAGGCCCCUGCGGGCUGUGGCGGUGGGACCGCUUCCACCCACGCCCCGCGACCCCGUGCAGGGAGCCGCCGUUGCAGGGGGGGUCGCACAGCGGGGAGGGGUGGAGGCGACCGUGGCUCUGGGGUACCCGCGGGGGUACCCAUCGGGGGGCACCUGGCCUCCCCACGGGCCGCGGUGUGCGGGUGAAGGGCUCUGACUGUGUCCCGCCCUGGAGGGUUCCACGGAGUCCACGGAGGGUUCCAUGGAGUCCGCGGCCUCCAGGGCCAUGUUGAAGACCCGCUGACUUCUCACGUUGCCACUGGAAAGCGCUGAUGCUGUUGGCUUCAGGAAGAAUACAACAGAAGCUUCAUUCUGAGACUUCUGGGAGGCCACGGGUGGGCUUCAACUUGACACCCGGAAGUUUCUAAACCAAGUGCGUUGGGCACCAGGAGCCAAAGAAUGCUGCGGUGCUGCUGGUUCAGUGCAGCAGAAGGAGUCCCCCCACCACCCUGUGUGUGGGCCUCCAUGUGGGCUGGACAGACUGACCCAAGAGACGUCUAACAGCAUGUACACUGAGCGUGGGGGGCCCCCCAGGCGGUUCAGGGGGCCGGAGGGAUGUCAACAGCCCACUUCUCCCCGGUCCACGAGGAACCACGGAAAUGACAAGAGCAGAUCUCAGGAAGCCCCAGCCCUGCCCAACAGGUGACCUCCCGGAACACAGGAACCCUUGGCCAGAGCCAGUCUGGUACUGAGCCUGGUCCGGUGUGUGUACGGAGCUGGAUGUCCUCUCACUGCCCAUGUGGAUUUGUGUGACCAGCACGGCUCUCACCAUGCUGAAUGGUACCACGGGCUCCAGGGUCCCCGUGCUGCCCUCCCCCUGCACUGUCCCCCGGCCUCUGACCACCAGCCUCCUCAGCAGGGAAACUGUCCUUUUGAGGCUAGAAACGGAAACACAGUAUAUGUGACGCACAGAGACGGGUGCUGGGCUCUGUGUCCUUCCCAUGGGGCCAGCGGUCUGCUGCUUUCCAUCUCAAAGCAGUGUCUGGGCUGUGGGGCACAGGGGACGUGACCACAUGCUGCUGAAGGCUGCCUGGGACUCUCCCACUUUGGAGCUGUUACCUGUAAAGCUGUGCGGACUAUUCGUAGACAGUGUUUUGUGCCUGAUCACACGACUUGUUAUUCCUGGACAGAGGUCCAGGAGGGUGGCAGGGUCACGCUGUAAGGGGGAGGCGUGCCGCCUCUGUUCCGUGGGCACUCUGUGGGCUCCUGCUUCCCUGGGGCCCUGCCAGCACUUGCUGGCCUCACUGGCUCUUCCUUUCGCCUCUCUGAUGGUGUGGGCGGUCCGCAGGCUGCCCGGGAGAGGGCCGCGAUGGGGCGCCCGGGCAGUCGGGACCACAGGGUCCGCCUUGGGCCCCGUGGAAGGUUCCAGCUUAGGGAGCGUAGAAGGGUCACGGGAGGAGCCCUGUCCUUCCGACCACACAUGGGGGAAGGGAGGGGUGUGGAGGGCAGGUUCAGGGACCCGGGUUUUAGGGGGUGAUUUCUGGAAGAAAAGAGGGGGCAUAGGGAGACAUCUGUGUGUGGCACCCCAGGGGCCUGAAAGCCACCCCAGGUCCCGCUGGUAGGAGGAUUGUUUUGUUUGAGGGAAACAUUCUCAGAGCCUGACACCAUCUUUGCCGAUAAGUGAACACAGGCUCGCUGUGGGAGUUACAGUAACACUUCACUCAGCAAACGAGGGAAGUCCUGGUGAGCCAGUAAGGGAACGGCACAGCCGACCCACCAGCAGACCGGUCACUGCCGUUCUAGGCAAGGCACGGGGCCCAUGACGUCCGACUCCCAGGGCACACCUUCCCCUCAGGAGGCGGCAGAGCUCAGCGCGGGGUCCCCGGUGCUGGGUCGUGGGAGGAGACUUCGCUGCGGUCCUGCCGAGAGCCCCUCGGGGCAGCCCAGCCGGGCCCUGCCAGACCCAGGGUCUCACUGCGGCCCCACGGACUCUCCCUGUGAAGGGUUGACGUGGCCGCGCUUCCCCAUUCUGGCCCACACGACCCGACCAUGCUGAGCGGCCGAGUGCGUGUCAGCCGCAGGCGUUAGUGGCAGCGUCCCCACGCAGCCUCCCCGGCGCAAACACUUCACCGAGCUCAGAACACUGAAGUCACAGACAAGCGGAAUCCUAGCCGACCACACACAGCAGGGUCGGAGCAGGGGACACGGGCUGUGUCCCUGGCAGCGGGGACCACCCACGUGGGCGGCAGCGGCUGGCCCAUCAGGCCCUGGGACCGCCAGGCUCAGAGCCGCCGGGGUGGAGAACACCCUAGCGGUCCUCGGGGUCCGUGCCCCAGCCUCCGGGUGCUCCGGGGCCAGGGAGCUUGGGGGCCCAGCUGCCCUGUCCUCCCGGCCUGUGGGGAAAGCAGCCUCCACCUGAUUUUCUGUGCCUCAUUCCAUUGGGCAGGUCUCGGGGGGCAGCAGCAGAGAGCGGCUGCCCGGCGCCCAUGCCGCCCCCCCACUGCACCCCCCAGGCUUGCUGCUGGGGCUCCUCGCGGUGACGCUACAGCGCAGCGGAAUGACGGCCCUUGUCGGCAACUGUCCCCAUAUUAGCUCGUUGUCCCUGCGCAACCGGGAAGCAGGAGGCAGGCGUCACUUCUCUCUUCCAGGCUCACGGGUGGGGGCUUCCUGAAAGCCCGAUCACUGGGGACAGAGCCGGGACACAAACCCAGGUUCUCCAGGUUCCAGGCUGGUGUCCCCGCCCAGCCACCUGACGGACACUCAGCAGGUGCUCACGGUCAGAAUCCCUGCGGGUGCGGGAGUAGGUCCCCGCGUCGUGGCCAGCGCGGCUGGGUUCCGGUGUGUGUGCGCCUCUGGAUUCUGCGUCCUUGGACAUUACUUGACGAAAUUUAAGAAAAUGGUGCGAUAAACCGACCCACUCGGAGGCGGAGAGGUGGAAUUUACU